AGGAGGGUUAGAGAGGGUUAGAGAGGGGUUAGAGAGGGGUAGGAGGGUUAGAGAGGGGUAAGGAGGGUUAGAGAGGGUAAGGAGGGUAGAGAGGGGGUCGGAGCGGUAGAGGGGGUAGAGAGGAGAGUUAUGAACCUCAACUGAGUGACCCUCCAACUGUAUUUACUGUGUAGAGGGGACCAUAGCUUUCUGGCCCCUUGUAUUUAAAAUACUUUAGCCUCAACUGAGUGACCCUCCAACCGUAUUUACUAACAGUAUUGUCCUCUUUAGUGAGAUGAGGCUGACAGAAAGGACACACACUGAGUCUCCAUGUUGUCU
Molecule: long non-coding RNA, 318 nt
Organism: Oncorhynchus tshawytscha (Chinook salmon)
Lineage: Eukaryota; Metazoa; Chordata; Actinopteri; Salmoniformes; Salmonidae
Source: Ensembl